This 2524-nucleotide unclassified non-coding RNA is filed under the name Haliotis rubra (blacklip abalone). RNAcentral's name for it is "rNA-binding protein 5-like, transcript variant X2". Lineage: Eukaryota; Metazoa; Mollusca; Gastropoda; Lepetellida; Haliotidae. The record is from RNAcentral.
ACCCACAAUGCUAAAGUAGGCCGCCAUUUUGGUGUUUGAUGCAUCUUGCGUACAAAGACGUCUGACCUGUCAGCAGACAAGAUGGCAGACACUUAUAACAGUUAUCAACCAGACUACAGCUUUGACAAUGGACAUUAUGACGAUGGUCAAGGAGAAAGCCAGUCUCAGGUUGGAGAUUUUGACAGUGGUGUAGACAUGAGAGGAGUGGACUAUGGUAGAGACACCAGAACAAGGGAGCUUGAUUAUAGUCGAGAUAAUGGCAGAGGCAGUGAUUAUGUUUAUGAUGGUGGUCGAGGGGGAGGUGAUCGAGGUGGAGGCUAUAGCAGAGACGGAAUGAGGGGAGAUAUCACAGACAGCAACAGAUUCAGUGAGGGUUAUGAUGAAAACAGAGGUUCCAGCAGAGACCGUGAAAGAGAAAGAGAGAGAUCAAGACGGGAUAGAGAUGGACGUCGUGAACGAAGGCAUCCAAGAGAUCGUGACCAUGAAAGAAGUCGAGAACGCAGAGAACGACGUGAAAGAGACAGAAGCCCAUCAAGUAGAUAUGAUGACAGCUACAGCUUGGAUGGCAGUGAAGGAGAUAGCCAGAGUUACCGUGACAGGGAACGUGAUGCAAGGGACUUGCGAGAGGACCGUGGCGGAGAAAAAUGGAUGACAGACACUCCCACUAACACAGUGCUGCUACGUGGAUUACCACCACAGGUUGAUGAGAAAGACAUUCGAGCUGAGUUGAUGAUGUUUGGUGCCCCUGUUAAGGAUGUGAGGCUAAUGCGUAGAAGCACAGGUGCCUCCCGUGGCUUUGCAUUUGUGGAGUUUCAGAACGUAACAGACGCCCAACGUUGGAUGGAUCAGAAACAGGGGGCGCUGAACAUGCUGAAUCAGUAUCACGUGAGCAUGCACUACAGUACGUCACGAGUUGGCCCAGAGAAGUUUGUGCAGCAUAAAACAGACUGGACCUGCAGCAAGUGUGGUGUUCAUAACUUCAAGAGAAGAGAUUACUGUUUCAAGUGCAAUAUUUCCAGAGAUGAAUCUGACAAGACAAAAGACGGAGAUGGCUUUGACCAAGUAGGAACUAAUCCAUGCAAUACUCUCAUAUUUCGAGGUCUUGAUGCACUUACAACAGAAGAGUCCCUUGACGUAGCAUUACGAUUACAAACAAAUCUCCAGUCUAAGAAUGUGCGCAUCAUUCGAGACCCAGUCACAAACACAUCCAGGGGCUACGGGUUCUGUGAGAUGAAUUCCAUUCAGGAAUCCACACAAGUUAUAGAUUUCUUGACUCAAAACAAUGUUCCUUUGGAAGUAGAUGGCAAACAAGUUCUCACAUCGUAUGCAAAGAACACUUUCUCCACUGUAAUGGCAACCUUAAACAGUACCCCUCAAAAUCCAGCAUGGGACUUCAACAGUCAACAAGUAGCGGGAGCUGGACAACCAGGUAGCGAGUACUACAACCAGCUGUACCAGGCCGGAGUCACAACAACCACACCCCCCACAACUACAGUCCCGUCGUCAGGGGAACUUGAUCAGACCUACUACGAUCAGGCAACAGGACAGUACUAUGAUACUCAGAGCUAUGAAUACUCCCAGUAUUACAGUCAGUUUGGACAGUCUGGCUCACAGUCACUGCAGACGGACUCUACAAAUGCUGCAGCAGCAGUUGCCCAGGCUGCUAUUGCUCAAGCCAAUGCUGCCAAGAACUACAACAAACAGACCCCAGGUCCUAAGAAAGCUGAGCCAGUAGUUGAACAGCCAGCCACCCCACCUGCUAGAAACAAGGAAGUCCUAGCAUAUCCGGCUCCAGAUGUGUCCACGUACCAGUUUGAUAAGAGUUCAGGAUACUAUUACGAUCCAUCAACAGGCCUCUACUAUGAUGCCAGUUCACAGUACUUCUACAACCCUCAGACCCAGCAGUUCAUGUACUGGGAUGCUGAGAAGUCCACAUAUCUCCCUGCACCCACACAAAACGACCCCAAUGGUGAUAGUGGUGAAGACAAGAAAGAUAAAAAGGACAAGAAGGAAAAGGUCAAAAUAGCCAAAAAAAUAGCUAAGGACAUGGAGAAAUGGGCCAAGUCUCUGAAUGCUCAGAAAGAGAUGAUGAAGGAGGGUACAAGGAAGAUCACCAUUAACACUGGUGGCAUCGGAGGCUUCAGGAAGGAAGAGCGAGAGUCUGCCACAGCAGAUGCAGGAUUUGCCAUCCUGGAGAAAGCUAAGGGUGAGGACAAGAAGUUAAUGCCACCACCACCUUUGCUGGGUGGUGGUGUGAAGGUGCCUAUACCUCCCCCCAGGGAGCAAGCCCGGGUUGGUGGCAUCCUAUGGUGGAGACAGUGAGGAGGAGGAUGAUGACAGUCAGGGUGCGGCAAUGUCUUCCGGUCGUCUAGACGAGACCAAGUUGGUGGACUGGGGCAAGCUAGCCUGCCUGUUGUGCAAGAGACAGUUCCAGUCAAAGGAGAUCCUGACAAAACACAUGCAGUUCUCAGACUUACAUAAGCAAAAUCUAGAAUCUCUGCAAAGAAGCAAAGGAGGAAGUGAA